Non-coding RNA from Monodelphis domestica (gray short-tailed opossum), 1031 nucleotides. The record is from RefSeq and is a predicted model, not a curated record. Lineage: Eukaryota; Metazoa; Chordata; Mammalia; Didelphimorphia; Didelphidae.
UCAUACCCUUUACAUACUGAUCUUACAAAUAUAUAUUAUGUACUACCAUUUAUAUACUAAUUUCUAGCACUUAUAUAGGGUUUAUGGUGUGCCAGCCAACUUUUAUAUUAUCUCCUUUGGUCCUCAUAAUAACCUUGUAAGGUGGAUUCUAUUCUUAUCCCCAUUUUUACAGAUGAGGAAACUUUUAAGGUGUAUGAAGCAGUAUGGCCAAAAGAAGUUAAGUGACUGACCGGAAAUCACAUAGUUGGUUGGUUGGUUAUUGUCCUUCCGUACUAGAAGAGGACCAAAGUGACAUCAUCAGUGAUUUCUUUUGACUCACGCAUAAAUUGCAUUUAACUGAGGCAGAGCCUCUUGAUUCCACUGAAGUCCAGCGGCAAGACAAAAGUCAGGAUGACUGGUGAUGGCUCUGGAUGUAGUGAAUGGCCAAGCUCCAAGUGGUUCACAGCACCUGCUUCAGCCACCUUCAUGACCAAGGGGUCAUGAAUUAUUCUCAUCCCCCUUUCUGCAGAAGAAGCCUUCAUAUGCCUGGGGUAGACAUGCCUCACCACAUCCCCCAGAUCACCAGUGGGUUUGGGGCCCAUCAGUUAACCUUCACCCUGGUUUAGUGUACCUGUUCAGAUGGUAUGCAAAGGGGUGGCCACUGGGCAAGCUACAGCUUCUAGGAGCCAGGUGAGAGCUGAGUGGCAAGUGGACAUACUUCUUUAGGAGAAGAACAGCCCUAGAAAGGGGUUGGCAAACUCUUACUUGAGAGAUACUAGUCCUCUCUGAACAUUGUGUAAUUGGAAAUCUUGUGCCUUUGAACUACAUUUCCCAGGAGCCCAUUGACUUCCUGUUGUUAAAUGAUGAUGUAGACAGGAGAUAAAUUGGGUGGUCUUUCAUGGCUAGCUCUCUUUCCUUCCUGGGUUGGGACAUUGGUGGAGUGGGUUGUUUGAACAGUAGAUUAGCCAUGGGCACGUGGUUUUAUUUUGUUACCUUUUUAUUUUGUUACUUCUAGUGAUCAUUAAUAAAUCUUAUAAAAUAUAAUAUUUAAA